RNAcentral lists this ribosomal RNA (212 nucleotides) under uncultured bacterium. RNAcentral's name for it is "partial 16S ribosomal RNA". It matches the Rfam family "Bacterial small subunit ribosomal RNA", at positions 524 to 731 of the family's 1533-position model. The record is from RNAcentral.
UACGUAGGGUGCGAGCGUUAAUCGGAAUUACUGGGCGUAAAGCGUGCGCAGGCGGCUUUGCUAAGACAGAUGUGAAACUCCCCCGGGCUCAACCGUGGGAACUGCAUUUGUGACUGCAAGGCUAGAGUACGGCAGAGGGGGAUGGAAUUCCGCGUGUAGCAGUGAAAUGCGUAGAUAUGCGGAGGAACACCAAUGGCGAAGGCAAUCCCCCU